CCUAGGGUGGCAGCAGUGAGGAAUAUUGGUCAAUGGGCGAGAGCCUGAACCAGCCAAGUCGCGUGAGGGAUGACGGUCCUAUGGAUUGUAAACCUCUUUUGUCGGGGAACAAAGGCGUCCACGUGUGGACUGAUGAGUGUACCCGAAGAAAAAGCAUCGGCUAACUCCGUGCCAGAAGCCGCGGUAAUACGGAGGAUGCGAGCGUUAUCCGGAUUUAUUGGGUUUAACGGGUGCGUAGGCGGACAGUCAAGUCAGCGGUAACAAUGCGGUGCUCAACGCCGUACAGCCGUUGAAACUGGCAGUCUUGAGUGGGCGAGAAGUAUGCGGAAUGCGUGGUGUAGCGGUGAAAUGCAUAGAGAUCACGCAGAACUCCGAUUGCGAAGGCAGCAUACCGGCGCCCUACUGACGCUGAGGCACGAAAGCGUGGGUAUCGAACAGGAUUAGAUACCCGAGUAGUC
This 458-nucleotide ribosomal RNA is filed under the name uncultured bacterium. Its description in RNAcentral is "partial 16S ribosomal RNA". It matches the Rfam family "Bacterial small subunit ribosomal RNA", at positions 338 to 795 of the family's 1533-position model. The record is from RNAcentral.